CGGGACCUCAGGUCAGGCGGGGCUACCCGCUGAGUUUAAGCAUAUCAAUAAGCGGAGGA
This 59-nucleotide ribosomal RNA is filed under the name Swartzia pittieri. Its description in RNAcentral is "partial 26S ribosomal RNA". Lineage: Eukaryota; Viridiplantae; Streptophyta; Magnoliopsida; Fabales; Fabaceae. RNAcentral also lists the same sequence under 3 other names. The record is from RNAcentral.